This 253-nucleotide ribosomal RNA is filed under the name uncultured bacterium. RNAcentral's name for it is "partial 16S ribosomal RNA". It matches the Rfam family "Bacterial small subunit ribosomal RNA", at positions 524 to 776 of the family's 1533-position model. The record is from RNAcentral.
UACGUAGGGGGCAAGCGUUGUCCGGAUUUAUUGGGCGUAAAGAGCGUGUAGGCGGCCAGAUAGGUCAGCUGUGAAAACUCGAGGCUCAACCUCGAGAUGUCGGCUGAAACCAUCUGGCUAGAGUCCGGAAGAGGAGAAUGGAAUUCCCGGUGUAGCGGUGAAAUGCGCAGAUAUCGGGAAGAACACCCGUGGCGAAGGCGGUUCUCUGGGACGGUACUGACGCUGAGACGCGAAAGCGUGGGGAUCAAACAGG